UAACGCGUGAGUAACCUGCCCAUAAGAGGGGGAUAAUCCAUGGAAACGUGGACUAAUACCGCAUAUUGAAUAUUUACCGCAUGGCAGAUAUUUGAAAGAUUUAUCGCUUAUGGAUGGACUCGCGUCAGAUUAGCUAGUUGGUGAGGUAAAGGCUCACCAAGGCGACGAUCUGUAGCCGAACUGAGAGGUUGAUCGGCCGCAUUGGGACUGAGACACGGCCCAGACUCCUACGGGAGGCAGCAG
This 243-nucleotide ribosomal RNA is filed under the name uncultured bacterium. Its description in RNAcentral is "partial 16S ribosomal RNA". It matches the Rfam family "Bacterial small subunit ribosomal RNA", at positions 111 to 354 of the family's 1533-position model. The record is from RNAcentral.